RNAcentral lists this long non-coding RNA (201 nucleotides) under Mytilus galloprovincialis (Mediterranean mussel). The record is from RNAcentral. Lineage: Eukaryota; Metazoa; Mollusca; Bivalvia; Mytilida; Mytilidae.
AUAAGAACGCAGACGAUUAAAGUGUAAUCUUGAAUGGUUAAACUGUCUGAUUUAUUUUUCUCAGCUACUUAAUAUUUGCUAGAUAAAAUGAAUUGUAAUAGCAUAGAUUAAGUAUUUGAAUGAGAACUACAUCAAUUCUGACAAAAAAUGCAUUAUGAUUGGCAAGACGCGUUCAAAUAUGAAUUUCUGUUUCUUUCCACG